GUAGGUGGCAAGCGUUGUCCGGAAUUAUUGGGCGUAAAGCGCGCGCAGGCGGUUCUUUAAGUCUGAUGUGAACGCCCACGGCUCAACCGUGGAGGGUCAUUGGAAACUGGAGAACUUGAGUACAGAAGAGGAAAGCGGAAUUCCACGUGUAGCGGUGAAAUGCGUAGAGAUGUGGAGGAACACCAGUGGCGAAGGCGGCUUUCUGGUCUGUAACUGACGCUGAGGCGCGAAAGCGUGGGGGAGCAAACAGGAUUAGAUACCCUGGUAGUCCACGCCGUAAACGAUGAGUGCUAAGUGUUAGGGGGUUUCCGCCCCUUAGUGCUGCAGCUAACGCAUUAAGCACUCCGCCUGGGAGUACGGCCGCAAGGCUG
RNAcentral lists this ribosomal RNA (371 nucleotides) under uncultured organism. RNAcentral's name for it is "partial 16S ribosomal RNA". It matches the Rfam family "Bacterial small subunit ribosomal RNA", at positions 527 to 896 of the family's 1533-position model. The record is from RNAcentral.